GCGAGGUUAUGCUGGAAGAAUACAUGGAGUCCGGAUCGGACGUCAGGGAAGGCGUCGGCCGGACCAAGAGCCUGACUUACGAAGAUCUGGACGAGCUCAAGGGAUGCCUCGAUCUCGGAUUCGGGUUCAGCUACGACGAAAUCCCAGAGCUCUGCAGCACCCUCCCCGCCCUGGAGCUCUGCUAUUCCAUGUCCCAGCGAUUCCUCGACGACCAGCAACAGAGC
Molecule: unclassified non-coding RNA, 224 nt
Filed under: Hevea brasiliensis (rubber tree)
Lineage: Eukaryota; Viridiplantae; Streptophyta; Magnoliopsida; Malpighiales; Euphorbiaceae
Source: RNAcentral